Molecule: long non-coding RNA, 626 nt
Filed under: Ananas comosus (pineapple)
Lineage: Eukaryota; Viridiplantae; Streptophyta; Magnoliopsida; Poales; Bromeliaceae
Description: long non-coding RNA (ACOM_LNC005925)
Source: RNAcentral
ACGCCCUUCUGGAUGCAAAUGGAUUCGACUUAGACUUAGUUUAAUAUUGAGAUUUAUCUAACACUGUUAGAUAAAAUAAAAUAGAAUUAGAAAAAAAAUAUAUAGGAAUAUAAUUCUGCGUUCUCCGAUAAGAUCGUAGAAAAUAUAUCAUAACCGGCUCAUCAUGCGAAACACAAUAUUACGUACGAAAAACAAAUAGAAUAUUUUUUUAUCAUACUUUCUCCCCGCACGUAACGUAAAUAAAUAGGAUAUUUUUUUAUCAUACUUUCUCUCCGCACGUAACGCAAUCUUCUAGUAAUUCUAAACGAAGCCUCGGUAAAAAUUUCAUCUCCAUCCGUUCGAUUAAAGUGGUAAAUAAAAUAUAUAUAUAUAUAUAUAUAAUUUGUUUUGAAUGUGUCUUAAUUAGUAAAGUUAAUAAAGCAAGAGGCAAGAGGUUUUUUUUUCUUUCUUUAUUCUGUCUCGAUCCCUCAAAAAUAUAUUUUUGUUUUUCAUUCGGAUCCGAUCCGACAAAAAAUAGAGCGAGAGAUGGGAAAUUCCUCCCCAGAUCACAUCUAUCCCGUUUACAUACCUAAAUAUCAAUUUUCGAAUGUAUUUUAUUUACAAUUUUAUUUUUAAAUAAAAUAUUU